This 845-nucleotide ribosomal RNA is filed under the name uncultured organism. RNAcentral describes it as "bacterial SSU rRNA". It matches the Rfam family "Bacterial small subunit ribosomal RNA", at positions 71 to 890 of the family's 1533-position model. The record is from RNAcentral.
AUCCUCUGCUUGCAGGGGAGAGUAAAGUGGCGCACGGGUGAGUAUCGCGUGGGUAAUCUACCCUUGAAUUCAGGAUAACACUUCGAAAGGGGUGCUAAUACUGGAUAAAAUCCUGAUGGUUUAGAUCAUAAGGAUCAAAGAUAGCCUCUACAUGUAAGCUAUAGUUCAGGGAUGAGCCCGCGUACCAUUAGCUAGUUGGUGGGGUAAGAGCCUACCAAGGCAACGAUGGUUAGCUGGUCUGAGAGGAUGAUCAGCCACACUGGAACUGAAACACGGUCCAGACUCCUACGGGAGGCAGCAGUGAGGAAUUUUGCGCAAUGGGGGAAACCCUGACGCAGCAACGCCGCGUGAGUGAAGAAGGCUUUCGGGUCGUAAAGCUCUGUCAAGAGGGAAGAAAGUGGGAGAUGGUAAUACUGUUUUCUAUUGACGGUACCUCUGAAGGAAGCACCGGCUAACUCCGUGCCAGCAGCCGCGGUAAUACGGGGGGUGCAAGCGUUAUUCGGAUUUAUUGGGCGUAAAGAGCGCGUAGGCGGUUUAUCAAGUCAGAUGUGAAAGCCCUGGGCUCAACCUGGGAAGUGCAUUUGAAACUAGUGGACUUGAGUAUGGGAGAGGGAAGUGGAAUUCCUGGUGUAGAGGUGAAAUUCGUAGAUAUCAGGAGGAACACCGGUGGCGAAGGCGACUUCCUGGACCAAUACUGACGCUGAGGCGCGAAGGCGUGGGGAGCAAACAGGAUUAGAUACCCUGGUAGUCCACGCAGUAAACGGUGAUCACUAGUGUAGCGGGUAUUGACCCCUGCUGUGCCGCAGUUAACGCAUUAAGUGAUCCGCCUGGGGAGUACGAUCGCA